AUUGAACGCUGGCGGCAUGCUUUACACAUGCAAGUCGAACGGCAGCGCGGGGGCAACCCUGGCGGCGAGUGGCGAACGGGUGAGUAAUGCAUCGGAACGUAUCCUGUAAUGGGGGAUAACGUAGCGAAAGUUACGCUAAUACCGCAUACGCUCGAGAGAGGAAAGUGGGGGAGUCGCAAGACCUCACGUUAUAGGAGCGGCCGAUGUCCGAUUAGCUAGUUGGUGGGGUAAAGGCCUACCAAGGCGACGAUCGGUAGCUGGUCUGAGAGGAUGAUCAGCCACACUGGGACUGAGACACGGCCCAGACUCCUACGGGAGGCAGCAGU
This 326-nucleotide ribosomal RNA is filed under the name uncultured bacterium. RNAcentral's name for it is "bacterial SSU rRNA". It matches the Rfam family "Bacterial small subunit ribosomal RNA", at positions 30 to 355 of the family's 1533-position model. The record is from RNAcentral.